CGGUAACAGCUGUCUUCAGCAACUGCUCGUCGUCGUCGUAUACUUCGCCAAUCACAGAUAUUACGCGAUUCGCACCGAUUGCCUGUCCAACUAAGCGCGAAAUAUGCUUUUAUCGCGCAAACUCGUCGGGCGUCGCUUCCUCCUCCUGCAUCUCUUAAUUAUCGCUAUGACACGCGCGAGCUGCAUCAAAGUGGCCGACGACGCGACGGACGACGAGACCCAACGCGAGACCUCGUCGAGAAGCCAAUACGCCGUUCGCGAGGCGACAACGACCGCGACGCCGUCGGAGGCGGCUACCAACAGCGGUCGGAAGUCAAUGUCGCCGAUCGUCGUGAAGGAUCCCCAGCGGAAUUCGUCCCAAGACUUCCGUCCGAGCCCGCACUUGGGCGAAAUCGAGCAACCGUCCACGGUUAUCCGAAUGAAUCCCUUCAACAGUGUGCAGCACGUGAAGUUCGAGAACAAGGUCCAGCUGGACCCGCGGCGCGAACUCUUUCAGGAUGCUCUUCAGGACGGGUACCAAGGCAUAUCCAGUAUCCUGGACGAGGCGACGCGACCGAGUAGAAUCAAGUUCCAGGACGACGGUAAGUGAACGUGCAUUGUGUUAAUUUCGAGCAUUCAUCAUUCCUUAGUGGGUCAGAAAGUUGUGACGGAGUAUGCCGGGUCGUCGUUUGUAGACGAUGGUAACGUCAAGCACGUGUUCGUCGACCAGAGCUUCUUCCGAAACGUCGAGAAGCCGGUGGUGGAGCAAGACGCGUCUUCAAUUUUUGGCAAAACAAUGGCCGAUCAACAGCUGAUGAGCGGUACUUACCUGGAUACUUUGCGGUCCCCAUACGUCAUCGGUUACUACAGCGAUGGCGAUCAGAACGCUCAUCAGCCAAUGUCGCACGAGACCGCGUACGAGAUAGUGAAACAGCCGGAGAGCGGCGUGUUGGUUCUUCAGCAAGAGGAGUCCACUUACACGAGGAAGCGCAAGUUCCCUUACCAGUUUUAUCAACCGAGCAGCGAGUACCACGAGGUGAAAUAUGCGGAGGUGCCGCAGCAUUCGACGGUGGCUUAUCCGCCAAUGAAAAAACUAUCGCCGUGGAAGAAAAUCGUUCGCCUGAUCGGCACUUUUCUGCCGUUGGGUCUGCUGUUGGCGACGUUGACACCCAACGUCGUGCGAAUCAACAACACGACAACGCAGCCGAGCAUUGUCCUUUCAAAACUACGGGUCGCCGACCUGCCGGUCGAGCAUAAACGAGCAACCCGCCUGCUUGAAGACCAAUCGGCCACUUGCGAGGAUCGAUCGAUCUGCGAAAUGAUCUUGGCCGGCAACGAGCCGGAAUCCAAUAUCCUGCAGAACAUCCUGUGGAACUUGGCUACUAGAAUCUCGGACGACGUUGCGACGAGGAAUGGUCUUCGCCAAGUGUUGGACGCUGUGAAGAAGAAAGACUGCACGACGUUCACCUGUUAACGGUCGCCUAGGAUGCCCGGAGGAAUCAGCUCGUCACACGCGACCUUCUUCGCUUCGAUUGGCGUAUCAUGGCGUCUUGUCUCUAGAAAGCAUGUCCAUACGUAAAGAUAAGAGACGCGUCUUCUUAUCCCAGAGGGGGAGAGGAAACGUCUAGCUUUAAUGUUACACAUAAAGUAUAUUAUGUAA
RNAcentral lists this small RNA (1639 nucleotides) under Harpegnathos saltator (Jerdon's jumping ant). Its description in RNAcentral is "uncharacterized LOC105191313". The record is from RNAcentral. Lineage: Eukaryota; Metazoa; Arthropoda; Insecta; Hymenoptera; Formicidae.